CCCUAGUAACGGCGAGUGAAGCGGCAACAGCUCAAAUUUGAAAGCUGGCCUUCGGGUUCCCAUUGAAAUUUGUACAGGAUGCUUUGGGUAAAACGCCAGUCUAAGUUCCUUGGAACAGGACGUCAUAUAGGGUGAGAAUCCCGUAUGUGACUGGAAAUGUUAACCUAUGUAAAGCUCCUUCGACGAGUCGAGUUGUUUGGGAAUGCAGCUCUAAAUGGGAGGUAAAUUUCUUCUAAAGCUAAAUAUUGGCGAGAGACCGAUAGCGCACAAGUAAAGUGAUCGAAAGAUGAAAAGCACUUUGGAAAGAAAGUUAAAAAGCACGUGAAAUUGUUGAAAGGGAAGCGCUUGCAAUCAAACUUGUUUAAACUGUUCGGCCGGUCUUCUGACCGGUUUACUCAUUUGGACAGGCCACAUCAGUUUCGGCGGCCGGAUAAAGGGUCUGGGAAUGUGGCCUCCACUUCGGUGGAGGUGUUAUAGCCCAUGUGUAAUACGGCACCGGGACUGAGGUCCGCGCUUCGCUAGGAUGCUGGCGUAAUGGUUGUAACACCCGUCUUGAAACACGGACCAAGGAGUCUAACAUCUAUGCGAGUGUUCGGGUGUCAAACCCCUGCGCGUAAUGAAAGUGAACGGAGGUGGGAACCGCAAGUGCACCAUCGACCGAUCCUGAUGUCUU
Molecule: ribosomal RNA, 673 nt
Filed under: Aureobasidium sp.
Lineage: Eukaryota; Fungi; Ascomycota; Dothideomycetes; Dothideales; Saccotheciaceae
Description: partial large subunit ribosomal RNA
Rfam family: Eukaryotic large subunit ribosomal RNA
Source: RNAcentral